Long non-coding RNA from Homo sapiens (human), 1940 nucleotides. RefSeq lists it as uncharacterized. The record is from RefSeq and is marked validated. The transcript has 12 exons. NCBI's taxonomy places the organism in Eukaryota, Metazoa, Chordata, Mammalia, Primates, Hominidae.
GCCGCUCUCCGCCUCUCUAGGCUCAGCUUCCAUCACCGCGUGGCGGAGCCCGUGUCCGGGCCAGUAUUUCUGCCUGUCACUUAUUAUCUGGUUGAGCUGGUGGCGGGAGUCCCGGCCCAUGUGUGUUACCAGAGGGAUGGUCUAGAGAAUGAAUCCAUCUGUCAGAGGCAUCCAAGAAGAAAGGCCUGGGCCAGGAUCACAUGGAAGACCCUGAAGACAGGAUCGGGUCUUGCCUGCCUGGAUUGAACAGAGACGCAGUGACCAGUCCCAUCUGCUCCCACCCUGCUGCCCUCUGAAUCGAGAGUUUGAGGCCAUGACCAGGGUAACGUUCAGCUGGUAGAGACAACACAACCCUGCUGGCUGUUUAAGCCAUGCUGGAGUGGUGCUCACAGGGUAACAAUUCUGAGUGAUGAACAGAAGCAGCACUUGAGCCAGACUCUGACCAAGAACUGCGGGCAGGCUAGAGCCACACAGAUCCCCGCCUCAGUAGACCGGCUGCAGCAGGAGGCACUCAGGAGCCCCAGAUGGUGAGUGAACGCGGAGCUGGGCAGCACAGAUGCAGGACGCUGCCUCCAUCGCAGAAAGUUCUCCUGGACGCCACUGUUCCAGAUCCUGAUGGUUCAAGUGCUACGGAUGCAAUAGCUCAGCGACUGGCAGCGCAGCACGUACCUGCUGUCGUGGGAGGUGAGAGCCACCAGUGCCCGACAGCGGCUGCAAGGCAGUGGUGGCGCUCUGCAGCCAGCCGGCCCACCCCUCCAACAUCUGCAAGGGGGUGGGAGGCUGCCUCACCAAGCUACCUGCUACUCAUGGGGGCGAUGGGCAUCAGGGUGGCCUGCCUGGAGCCCCGAGAGCACAUAGAAGCUGCCAGAUGAGGGCAGUGAGGCCGAGGGCCGGCAGUAGGGCUGCAGAUGCCCUGAGCCCUAAGGUCAAGGUGGAUGGAACUGCUGUGUAAGUCUGAUGCCGAGGAGACCAGGUCGUUGGGCUUUCAGCCCUGCGGCCGCCAAGUCUCAGGUUAGAGCUCCCUCUCGCGGCCGAUGCUGGGCACUACAUUGCCCAAGACCCAGGUGGGCCGAAGUCUUGAGAAAGGGCUCGCAGUCAUCGUCGCCAGCAGGCAGACACCAGUAAGGUUCUCACCUCUGUGACCAAUUACCUUGAGACUGAUGUCCUGCACCAUCCUGGAGUGUUGGGAUCUGCAGGUCGUGAAAAGGGAAACCAAGCAAUCACUUUGGAAUGACUUCCUGGAACUUCCCUGGCCCCUCCUUCGUGUUCUCUGAUGACAGCCAGGAGCUGACUCAGAAACCUCAUAAGAAGCUGAAGGCAUGACGACUUCCCUGUUAAAAAAAAAAUGUCCCACGUGUGGCCGAGUGCCACACCCAGGCAGCUGCCGAAAAAAAGCACCAGACACCAUGCAGCUGGGCCCCAGGGCCCGGCCCAACCCGGUUGGCCUUCUCCGGCACCUGCAGGGAACUUGUCCUGUCUUGUCUCUGCUCGCCCCCUGCUGGCUGCCUGGAGCCAUUCCGUGCUGGUUUCUUCGCGUCUUCUGUCAGGAGAGAGAUGCUGAUGCUUACUCAGGGAUCCGGCGGCUGUGACCCUGAGGCCCCGAGGUGGAUUAACAGAGCCCUCAGCACCGAGUCUCCAAGCUGAAGGCAGUGGUCACACUCCCUGCUGCCCUCCAGGUUUGGAGGGAUGGAGAGGAGAGAGGAGGGGAAGAAGCUACCUUCUUCACUAGCCUUGCUGAGAGACAAGUGGGUACGGCCCACAGGCACCUCCACCAGCCUGCCCUCUACAUCCAGAUUCGCAAGGCCAUUUCUGGAGAAGCCCUAGGACCACAGACCCACAGCAUCGACGGGGAGCUUGUUAGGAACGAAGACCCUUAGGCCCCCACCCAGGCCUGCAAACUUGUAAUAAGGGGGUCCCCGGGUGGUUUAUGUCCAUUAAAG